Molecule: RNA transcript, 4891 nt
Organism: Lagenorhynchus albirostris (white-beaked dolphin)
Lineage: Eukaryota; Metazoa; Chordata; Mammalia; Artiodactyla; Delphinidae
Gene: YRDC
Gene name: yrdC N6-threonylcarbamoyltransferase domain containing
Exons: 5
Source: RefSeq, a predicted model, not a curated record
CCUCCCGGAAGCAGGCCUGGGCGGAUGUCUCCGGCGCGUCCGUGCACGGGGCUGAGGGCCGCGGUGGCUGCCAGCAUAGGGUUGAGCGAGGGGCCGGGGGGCUCCGCCCGGAGCGGGCGCCUUCUCCGUCCGCCGAGCCCCGCUCCGGCGGCGCCGGGGGCCCGGCUGUUCCGGCUCCCGGGGAGCGGGGCCGUGCGGGCCGCAAACCCGGAGCGCGCCGGCUGGACCGAGGCGCUGCGGGCCGCCGUGGCCGAGCUGCGCGCCGGCGCCGUGGUGGCCGUCCCCACCGAUACGCUGUACGGCCUGGCCUGCUCGGCGAGCUGCUCGGAGGCACUGGGCGUCGUGUACCGCGUCAAGGGCCGCAGCGAGACCAAGCCGCUGGCCGUGUGCCUGGGCCGCGUGGCCGACGUCUACAGGUACUGCCGUGUGAGAGUACCUGAGGGGCUCCUGAACGACCUGCUGCCAGGACCAGUGACCCUGGUGAUGGAACGCUCGGAGGAGCUCAACAAGGACCUGAACCCCUUCACUCCUCUUGUAGGCAUCCGGAUUCCUGACCACGCCUUCAUGCAGGACUUGGCCCAGGUGUUUGGGGGACCGCUUGCUCUCACCAGCGCCAACCUCAGCUCCCAGACCAGCUCUCUGAAUGUUGAGGUGCCCUGUGUGCGGUAUGACAUCAUUGCAGAUGCCAGAGGUGGUGUCCAUGCUCUUCCUCUCCCUCUUCUCAGGAAUUUCAGGACCUCUGGCCUCGCUUGUCCUUGGUCAUUGAUGGGGGACCAAUUGGGGAUGACCAGAGCCCUGAGUGUCGACUAGGCUCAACUGUGGUUGACUUGUCUGUGCCUGGAGAGUUUGGCAUCAUUCGUCCGGGUUGUGCCCUAGAAAGUACUUCGGCCAUCCUCCAGAAGUAUGGGCUGCUCCCCUUGCGUGGAUCCUGCUUGUGAAACUCUGGAGAAGGGAGGGCGCAAGGACUGGUGCUGGACACUAUGUGUCCGACUGCUGGUGGCUGGCAAGGCCUCAUUGGCAGAGGCCGCUGGGGCUACAGUGUUACUAGUCUGACCUUUUAAGGCAAAGUUUCUUUCUGAACACUACAGACCAGGCCUCAGAAGCUGCUGGUUAAGCCUCACACCUGGUUGGGGAGGUUAUAUUUAUUUAUAAUUUCAUAUAUGAGCCAAAAGCUGAAUAGAGGUUUUAAGAGUAUUCCGAGGAUGGCCUUGUUCUGAUAAGUUUUUUCGAUCUUUGAAAAAUAAAUAACAGAUUUGGAAUCUAGUGAGAGCUUCUCUGGUGGGUAGUGGCACUUAAGGUCCAAAUCAACUAACACAUUGGUUGGUGCUUUUCAAAAGUCUCAAGUGACCAAGUGCAUGAGUUUUAUGCUUCUGAAGCUGGAACCAGUUUAGGACAAAAAUAAAAACUGUAGAGCCAUCGACCAAACACUGCUUCCUCUGAACCAGGGGCUGGUUCUUUGCUGUAAUUGCCCGGCGGAGAGUCACCAUUUUGGUCUAAUGGUGGGAGGUAAGCUCAGCUGGCACAGGGGGUGGGGGGUGGGGUCCAAAUGAAGGAACAUUGGAAAACAAAUCGCUACUGUCCUGUCCAGCCACUUUUUUCUUAUUUAUUCGUAAUAUAAAUUAUAGUGAAUUAUACCUACAACACCUUUAUUUAAAUGCAGUGUCUACUCAGCAGCCUUUAUCUUUAUUCAUGUGUAUACAAGUGUUAAAAACAUACUUACUAUUGGGCAUUUGAACUUUGUUUUUUCUUUAAUAGAACAAAUGCUGUUAAACAUCUUUGUGAAUGUUUUAUUUUCCUUCUUUUGAAUUAUUUCCUUGGGGUAGGAUUACUGGGUCCAAGUGUGUGGCCAUUAUCUUGGCUCUUGAUAGAGGUUAGCCUUCAAAAGAACUGAAUCAAGUUGCACUGCCAUCAGCAGUGUGUGAGAAUUACUGCCCCUGCCCCCCCCCCCCCCCGCUUCUGGCCAUACUUUUACUAUUUUUAAAAAUAUGCAUAUGUGAACUGAAGCCUCAGUGUCACUCCCUUGUAAAUUAUUCCAGGUCAUCAUCUAGCCCUUUUUACCUGUCCCUGCCUGCCUUGGUUUCCCCAACUGAGUCACAGCAAGGGGACCAGGCCUGCCCCAUCCGUUGGUGGGAUUUAGUACCUGUUAACCUAACUGGAGCUGGGAGUCCUUGUGACCAGUAGGGCUCACUUCCUCCCCUCUCCCCUCACACCCCAGUUCUCAGAACUAGGAUUCAGUCUGAGCCCAUAAACUUCUCAAUACGGUCGUUUCCAAUGCACAUAUUUUCAAGUAGAUCCUAAGAAUUUUUCCAAGAGGGUGUCCCAGGGCCUGCUUUGAGGGUCCCUGCAAUUAGCAUAUUCGUUUAUUUGUAAAUAAGCACUGGAUUGUUAAAUAUUCCCUCUAGAAAUCUUGUUGAAACUAAUUUCUUAAGCAAACUCGACUUCGUUGUGCUAACCCUGUAGCCAGCCCAUCCCAUAUGUCAAUUUGUCACAGAAUCUGAGGAGUUAAGAGUUUGUGGUCCUGAAGGGAUCAAAAGGAAAGCUGAUUUGAGAAUAGGAACAACACGUCAUUUUUAAUACAAAUCACAGUCGCACUGAAAAUGGCUCCAGUGAGUGGGCCUCAUUCAGUUCAGGCAGCUAAAGGGAGGGGGGUGUCCUAGUCCUCCCCCUGGAGCUAAAUGUUUACCUAGGAAAACGGAGGCUCUGGAGCGCAGAGGUAUUUUCUUCGAGGAAAAAGAACUGAACUCCCAGCACUGGGCAAAACAGCAAAAAGGAAAAACUUGUAGCUGUGCUUAGGCACUAGCUACAAGGCCACACCAAAUGAGGAAAGCUGGCUCCUGUAAGCUUCGGAAGACAGGAGCCAUCCCUGGUCGAGUUUUCCCCCAGCACCUGGCACGCGGUAAGGUGCUCGUGGAGUAUGUGUUGAAUGAAUGUGUGAGUGCUCAGGAUUAUCUCCUGAUAAUUGGGUUCGGGAAUCUACUGGGAAGAGCUUAAACUGAGAGUGUUCCCUUUUAGAAAGUCUUAAAUGUGGUUCCCUAACUUGGGGAAGACAGAUGACGUGGGAGGGAGGCCUGGAGAGGACGCAGGUUGGCAGAGAGCAGGGUGCAUGCUAGCCCAGAGCCCUGACACCCUUCUAAGACCAGUGACUUGGCGACUCCAGAACACCAACCAGCUGAGCUCCAGGCUAGACGGGAUUGUCUUAAAGUGUUCUCACUGAGGAUGUGGGGCUGCCUUGGGCUAAGCCCAGCCACCGGCCAGCCCCUGGGGCUCCCUCUCUGGAACACCACCUAGUUUCCUGUCCCUGCAGGGCACUCUGGCACCCACCUGCCUCAGAAGCACUCAGCCGCUGACUCGGGAGCGAGUGCCGAGCCCCACGUGGUGACGUCUUCCAGUGAGGCUGGGACGGCAGCACCUCCCGCCCCUGCCUGCAGGCCCCUCACAUCAGCCACUGCUCCUUCUCUUUGAUGAAGUGCUCUGCCCAGCGGCGCGUCAGCUCUAGGUACAGGCUGGGCUGAUGAGGCAGGUAGUCCAAAUACAGCCGAGUCGGUGUCUUCUUGGGAAUGGCCUUCUCAAUCUGGGUGCCCUCGUGCCACUCGUUGAAGGAGGUGAUGGAGACGAUCUCGGGCCUCACGGUCAGGGCUGCCUGCAGGGCCGUCUCAUAGUACUUGCCGUUGACCCUGUUCCGCGUACUGUGGUUGUUCCAGGGCCGGAUGCUGGUGUCAAUGUAGCCAGGCCCCACGCUGGGAAUGAACAUGAGGUUGUUGGCAUCGCAGAAGUUCUUCACAGCUUUCCAGUUCUGAUGGGAGGAGCCGAAGGAGAAACCAUUGGAGGCAAAGUAGGUGUACAUGCCAUCAAAUCCGGCGGCCAGGAUGUCAUGGGUGUGGCCCUCCUCCACCAGCAGCGCUAUGAAGACCCCAUCGUAGGGGGUGUUGCGGAUUGAGUGGGGCCCGUUCGGUGUCAGGAGGUGGGCCCAGGCCUCAGGGGAUGUCAGGUAGGAGUCAUAGAUAUAAAAGAGUGGGAGGCUCUUACCCAUGCUGUUCUUAUAGCGGUAAAAUGCACCAUGAGAGCCAUACCUGAGGAGCAGGAGGAAGAAGAGGCUGAGCCGGCAGCCUAAGAGAAAAGAAGCCAGCGCAGCCGGAGGGCUGGCCAUGAGUGAGAUCUUUCCUGAUGUCCAAGCACGAUUUUGAGUCCACUUGGACUCCACAGUUGGACUCAUCAUGCCUCUAAGCAAGAACCCAGUUCCCUCCCACCCUCCCCCGAGCCUUGUCAUUCCUCUAUUUAAGCCUCACUUCCCUGCCCCAGGCCGAGCCACCACCAUCUCCUAUCUGGACUGUACCGACAGCCACCUAACUGGUCUCCAGGCUCCCACUUCCACCUCCCUAUAACCCAGUCUCUUUUUAAAGCGUAAAUCAGAUCUGACUGCUCCUUACCGGAGACCAGCAAGGCCCCACCUACUUGAUCUGACCCUGCCCACCGCCAUUCCUGCUAUUACCCCAUCUAUCGCUUCACUCCGGCUACACUGGCUGCCGUCAAGCUUGUCCCAUCGGACGGCCUUUGGAUCUGACAGCCCUCUGCCUGGAGUUUUCUGCCUGCCCCAGAUCUCUGCAGAGCUGACUCUUCCUUUAGGUGCUGGCUUACAUGUCACCUCAGAGAAGCUCACUGGACCACCCAUUCUAAAGUUGUUUCUUGGACACACUCUUAACACCUGCUUUAUUCUGUUAUUACUUCUUCAUAGUAUAGAUCGCCAUUUGAUUUGUCAUCUAUAACCACUAUCUGCUCACUGCACACCCGCCCGAGGAUGUAAACUUUGGUAGCCCUACCCACUGCUGUACAACUGGGACUUAGGACAGUGCCUCAACACCUGAAGGCACUCAAUAAAUAUUUUUUGAAUGAA